GACCGCCCCAGCGGGAUUCACAUGCCUGCACCGAACUCUCCGGGGAAAGCUGGUCGUAAUCCCAGCCAAAUAACGACCUAAUAAGAAGAACAAUAUCCCCCAAGGCUCCUU
Molecule: non-coding RNA, 111 nt
Organism: Aspergillus fumigatus Af293
Lineage: Eukaryota; Fungi; Ascomycota; Eurotiomycetes; Eurotiales; Aspergillaceae
Source: the annotation of a RefSeq genome assembly